UGAGGAAUAUUGGUCAAUGGGCGCAAGCCUGAACCAGCCAUCCCGCGUGCAGGAAGACGGCGCUAUGCGUUGUAAACUGCUUUUCCAGGGGGAGAAACUUGCGCACGUGUUGCGCAAUUGACGGUACCCUGGGAAUAAGCAUCGGCUAACUCCGUGCCAGCAGCCGCGGUAAUACGGAGGAUGCGAGCGUCAUCCGGCUUCAUUGGGUUUAAAGGGUGCGUAGGCGGACUAUUAAGUCAGUGGUGAAAUCCUGCAGCUUAACUGCAGAACUGCCAUUGAUACUGAUAGUCUUGAGUUUGGUUAAGGUAGGCAGAAUGCGUAAUGUAGCGGUGAAAUGCUUAGAUAUUACACAGAACACCAAUUGCGUAGGCAGCUUACUGAGCCGACACUGACGCUGAGGCACGAAAGCGUGGGGAUCGAACAG
This 424-nucleotide ribosomal RNA is filed under the name uncultured bacterium. RNAcentral describes it as "bacterial SSU rRNA". It matches the Rfam family "Bacterial small subunit ribosomal RNA", at positions 355 to 775 of the family's 1533-position model. The record is from RNAcentral.